Molecule: ribosomal RNA, 374 nt
Filed under: uncultured Acaryochloris sp.
Lineage: Bacteria; Bacillati; Cyanobacteriota; Cyanophyceae; Acaryochloridales; Acaryochloridaceae
Description: bacterial SSU rRNA
Rfam family: Bacterial small subunit ribosomal RNA
Source: RNAcentral
GGGGAAUCUUCCGCAAUGGGCGAAAGCCUGACGGAGCAAUACCGCGUGCGGGAGGAAGGCCCUUGGGUCGUAAACCGCUUUUAACAGGGAAGAAUAACUGACGGUACCUGUUGAAUAAGCCUCGGCUAACUCCGUGCCAGCAGCCGCGGUAAGACGGAGGAGGCAAGCGUUAUCCGGAAUUAUUGGGCGUAAAGCGUCCGCAGGUGGCCUAUCAAGUCUGUUGUUAAAGCCCAGGGCUCAACUCUGGAUCAGCAAUGGAAACUGAAAGGCUAGAGUACGGUAGGGGUAGAGGGAAUUCCCAGUGUAGCGGUGAAAUGCGUAGAUAUUGGGAAGAACACCAGUGGCGAAGGCGCUCUGCUGGGCCGUAACUGACA